AUAUAAGACGAGAAGACCCCAUGGAGCUUUAAACCCAACAACACCCGCCCCCCUCCAAAUCCUAUUAUUUACCCGGUGAUUGUUUGUUUGGUUUUAGGUUGGGGUGACCGCGGAGUAUAAGAUAUCCUCCAUGAAAAAAAGCUAACUGCCCUUAUUAGAGAAAGACACUUCCAAAAAAUAAUAAAUUAAUUUUAAAUGAUCCGACAUUCGAUCAACGAACCAAGUUACCCUGGGGAUAACAGCGCAAUCCGUCCCGAGAGCCCCUAUCGACAG
RNAcentral lists this ribosomal RNA (273 nucleotides) under Boophis madagascariensis (Madagascar bright-eyed frog). Its description in RNAcentral is "partial 16S ribosomal RNA". It matches the Rfam family "Bacterial large subunit ribosomal RNA", at positions 2076 to 2511 of the family's 2925-position model. The record is from RNAcentral. Lineage: Eukaryota; Metazoa; Chordata; Amphibia; Anura; Mantellidae.